GUGGGGAAUAUUCCGCAAUGGACGAAAGUCUGACGGAGCAACGCCGCGUGAGUGAUGAAGGUUUUCGGACUGUAAAGCUCUGUUGUUUAGGACGAAAGUGCCUGUUGCAAAUAGUUACAGGUAUUGACGGUACUGAACGAGGAAGCCACGGCUAACUACGUGCCAGCAGCCGCGGUAAUACGUAGGUGGCAAGCGUUGUCCGGAAUUAUUUGGCGUAAAGAGCAUGUAGGCGGGAAUCUAAGUCUGUUGUGAAAAUGCGGGGCUCAACCCCGUAUUGCGAUGGAAACUGGGUUUCUUGAGUGCAGGAGAGGAAAGGGGAAUUCCCAGUGUAGCGGUGAAAUGCGUAGAUAUUGGGAGGAACACCAGUGGCGAAGGCGCCUUUCUGGACUGUGUCUGACGCUGAGAUGCGAAAGCCAGGGUAGCGAACGGGAUUAGAUACCCCGGUAGUCC
Molecule: ribosomal RNA, 450 nt
Filed under: uncultured bacterium
Lineage: Bacteria
Description: partial 16S ribosomal RNA
Rfam family: Bacterial small subunit ribosomal RNA
Source: RNAcentral